CUGCAAGNCNGCGAGGUGGAGCUAAUCUCAUAAAACCGUUCUCAGUUCGGAUUGUAGGCUGCAACUCGCCUACAUGAAGCUGGAAUCGCUAGUAAUCGCGGAUCAGCAUGCCGCGGUGAAUACGUUCCCGGGCCUUGUACACACCGCCCGUNNNNNCACGAGAGUUUGUAACACCCGAAGUCGGUGGGGUAACCUUUUUG
Molecule: ribosomal RNA, 200 nt
Filed under: Bacillus thuringiensis
Lineage: Bacteria; Bacillati; Bacillota; Bacilli; Caryophanales; Bacillaceae
Description: partial 16S ribosomal RNA
Rfam family: Bacterial small subunit ribosomal RNA
Source: RNAcentral